GACGUAGGGGGCGAGCGUUGUCCGGAUUUAUUGGGCGUAAAGAGCUCGUAGGCGGCUCAGAAAGUCGGGUGUGAAACCUCCAGGCUCAACCUGGAGACGCCACCUGAUACUGCUGUGGCUAGAGUCCGGUAGGGGAACACGGAAUUCCCGGUGUAGCGGUGAAAUGCUUAGAUAUCGGGAGGAACACCAGUGGCGAAGGCGGUGUUCUGGGCCGGAACUGACGCUGAUGAGCGAAAGCGUGGGUAGCAAACAGG
RNAcentral lists this ribosomal RNA (254 nucleotides) under uncultured bacterium. RNAcentral describes it as "partial 16S ribosomal RNA". It matches the Rfam family "Bacterial small subunit ribosomal RNA", at positions 524 to 776 of the family's 1533-position model. The record is from RNAcentral.